RNAcentral lists this ribosomal RNA (324 nucleotides) under uncultured bacterium. Its description in RNAcentral is "bacterial SSU rRNA". It matches the Rfam family "Bacterial small subunit ribosomal RNA", at positions 335 to 655 of the family's 1533-position model. The record is from RNAcentral.
ACUCCUACGGGAGGCAGCAGUGAGGAAUAUUGGACAAUGGGCGGGAGCCUGAUCCAGCCAUGCCGCGUGCAGGAAGACUGCCCUAUGGGUUGUAAACUGCUUUUAUACGGGAAGAAACACUCCCUCGUGAGGGAAUUUGACGGUACCGUAAGAAUAAGGAUCGGCUAACUCCGUGCCAGCAGCCGCGGUAAUACGGAGGGUGCGAGCGUUAAUCGGAAUUACUGGGCGUAAAGCGCAUGCAGGUGGUUUGUUAAGUCAGAUGUGAAAGCCCGGGCUGCAACCUCGGAAUAGCAUUUGAAACUUGGCAGACUAGAGUACUGUAGA